Molecule: ribosomal RNA, 433 nt
Filed under: uncultured bacterium
Lineage: Bacteria
Description: partial 16S ribosomal RNA
Rfam family: Bacterial small subunit ribosomal RNA
Source: RNAcentral
AACGAACGCUGGCGGCAGGCCUAACACAUGCAAGUCGAGCGAGCAUUUCGGUGCUAGCGGCGGACGGGUGAGUAACGCGUGGGAACGUGCCCUUUUCUGCGGAAUAGUCCUGGGAAACUGGGGGUAAUACCGCAUACGCCCUUUUGGGGAAAGAUUUAUCGGAGAAGGAUCGGCACGCGUUGGAUUAGGUAGUUGGUGGGGUAAUGGCCCACCAAGCCGACGAUCCAUAGCUGGUUUGAGAGGAUGAUCAGCCACACUGGGACUGAGACACGGCCCAGACUCCUACGGGAGGCAGCAGUGGGGAAUCUUAGACAAUGGGGGCAACCCUGAUCUAGCCAUGCCGCGUGAGUGAUGAAGGCCUUAGGGUUGUAAAGCUCUUUCAGCUGGGAAGAUAAUGACGGUACCAGCAGAAGAAGCCCCGGCUAACUCCGUG